RNAcentral lists this ribosomal RNA (468 nucleotides) under uncultured bacterium. RNAcentral describes it as "partial 16S ribosomal RNA". It matches the Rfam family "Bacterial small subunit ribosomal RNA", at positions 28 to 507 of the family's 1533-position model. The record is from RNAcentral.
GACGAACGCUGGCGGCGUGCUUAACACAUGCAAGUCGAACGGAAAGGCCCUGCUUUUGUGGGGUGCUCGAGUGGCGAACGGGUGAGUAACACGUGAGUAACCUGCCCUUGACUUUGGGAUAACUUCAGGAAACUGGGGCUAAUACCGGAUAGGAGCUCCUGCUGCAUGGUGGGGGUUGGAAAGUUUCGGCGGUUGGGGAUGGACUCGCGGCUUAUCAGCUUGUUGGUGGGGUAGUGGCUUACCAAGGCUUUGACGGGUAGCCGGCCUGGGAGGGUGACCGGCCACAUUGGGCCUGAGGUACGGCCCAGACUCCUACGGGAGGCAGCAGUGGGGAAUAUUGCACAAUGGGCGGAAGCCUGAUGCAGCAACGCCGCGUGCGGGAUGACGGCCUUCGGGUUGUAAACCGCUUUCGCCUGUGACGAAGCGGGAGUGACGGUAAUGGGUAAAGAAGCACCGGCUAACUACGUG